RNAcentral lists this ribosomal RNA (306 nucleotides) under uncultured Bdellovibrio sp. RNAcentral describes it as "bacterial SSU rRNA". It matches the Rfam family "Bacterial small subunit ribosomal RNA", at positions 29 to 334 of the family's 1533-position model. Lineage: Bacteria; Pseudomonadati; Bdellovibrionota; Bdellovibrionia; Bdellovibrionales; Pseudobdellovibrionaceae. The record is from RNAcentral.
AACAAACGCUGGCGGCGUGCCUAAUACAUGCAAGUCGAACGAGAAAGUACCUUCGGGUAUGAGUACAGUGGCGCACGGGUGAGUAACGCGUAGAUAAUCUGCCCUUCAGUGGGGAAUAACUCGGGGAAACUCGGGCUAAUACCGCAUAAGACCACAGUAGCCACGGCUACAGAGGUUAAAGAUUUAUUGCUGAAGGAUGAGUCUGCGUUCGAUUAGCUUGUUGGUGGGGUAAAGGCCUACCAAGGCGACGAUCGAUAGCUGGUCUUAGAGGAUGAUCAGCCACACUGGAACUGAGACACGGUCCAG